This 77-nucleotide transfer RNA is filed under the name Candidatus Kuenenbacteria bacterium HGW-Kuenenbacteria-1. Its description in RNAcentral is "tRNA-Pro". It matches the Rfam family "tRNA". Rfam says of the family: Transfer RNA (tRNA) molecules are approximately 80 nucleotides in length. Their secondary structure includes four short double-helical elements and three loops (D, anti-codon, and T loops). The record is from RNAcentral. Lineage: Bacteria; Candidatus Kueneniibacteriota.
CGGGGUGUGGCCUAGUGGAUUAGGGCAUCUGGUUUGGGACCAGAGGACCGUGGGUUCGAAUCCCACCACCCCGACCA